GAAAAUAUAAGAUGAAGAAGGGAUCAGCAGUGGGAACAAGAAGCAAGUCAUAGCAAAUACUGAAAUCACCAGAAUAAGUUGGAAAACCAACAAUGAUUCACAACCAAGCUCAAAUAACCCAGGAAUACACUUAAAAACCAAACAGAAAGAUGUGAAAACCCACAUCAACUACAAAAUGCCCAUGAAGCUGAACCUCAAUACCUCUGAAACUCACUGGAAGCAUUCCCAUCUUGAAACUUAAACCAAAUAGACCCCAAAUUCUCUUAAAACAUCUACCAAACAAAUCUGAUCAAUUUUAGAGCUAAGUCCUCAGCCAGAAAUGGGAAAUCCAAAGAAGGAGGCUGAAAGUCAUCUUAAAAUUCAAUGAAAUAGUGAAAUAUUUUUGGUUUUUCUCUUUUCUAAUGUUUUUCUUUAUGUUUUUCUUUUUUAUUGAAGGUUUGAAUGCAAAAACUAUUCUAGCAUUAAAAACUGAAGAAGAAGAAGAAUUUUUCUCCGUAUUUUUUUUAGGCUGGAAAAAUUGAACCCAGGAAAAAUCAGAAAACUUCAGCAAUCAAACUCGAAGCUAAAUAUGUAAAUUCACACUACAACUUGAAACUGAAUUUAAAAUUGCAAUGGAACAAUAUUGGAAUUUUCUGCUGUAUUUUUCCCUUUGUUUGUUUUUUUGAAGGUUUGGAGAUUUUUUUUUGUUUUAUUUUUCUUUAGUUUUGAAAUCUGGAGGUUGAGACUGUUUUUGGGGAGAAACUUUAUAAGUGAAAACUUUGAUUUUCCUUUUCUAAAGCUAAGAGUGAAGAUUUGAGAGAGAACUUCAGAAUUU
Molecule: long non-coding RNA, 814 nt
Filed under: Nicotiana benthamiana
Lineage: Eukaryota; Viridiplantae; Streptophyta; Magnoliopsida; Solanales; Solanaceae
Description: long non-coding RNA (NBEN_LNC015912)
Source: RNAcentral